Long non-coding RNA from Tupaia belangeri chinensis (Chinese tree shrew), 585 nucleotides. RefSeq lists it as uncharacterized. Lineage: Eukaryota; Metazoa; Chordata; Mammalia; Scandentia; Tupaiidae. The transcript is spliced from 3 exons. The record is from RefSeq and is a predicted model, not a curated record.
CUGACUGGAUCAAGGAUUUGAACUGUAGACACUAGGUGAGACCUGGUUUCUCUUGAGUAGUGCUUUACUGCUUUGCCCCAGAGCUGGCUCAGUAUAUCAAGACCUUUAAUAAAGAAAAAGAAUACAGAAAUCCCUCUGAAUACAGAGAGGACAGACCAUAGAAGCUUCACAUAGUUGGGAGACUUCUAAUUUAGCCGGAAUAAAGUGAAGAUACUGUUGGUCCAAGAACCACACAUGGUGAAGUUCACACCUGGUGAAGUUCACACCUCCGCCUUCACUCACCUGCCAGGGAGAUGUGCAGGUGCAGGUGUCAAAUAACGCAAGUGACAAUAAGAAAACAGCAUCCCCAAGGCCGCAGAUUGGCGCGGUGGACCCACGCGGGGCUGAUCUAGAGCCGUGUUCUCUUGUGCUUGCUUUUGUCCUGCCUGAGGCGAUGGAGCAGACAACGUCUUCACAGAGGGAUCGGACAGACCCGAGAGCUGCUGUUCCUCCUUUUCUCGCACUGAUGUAUCCUGCUUUGAAAUACCAGGUCCUUUUAGCAGUAUCACGGUGUAGCAGCAUGUUGUUAAUCCAAUAAAAAGCGUU